This 399-nucleotide long non-coding RNA is filed under the name Mustela putorius furo (domestic ferret). Its description in RNAcentral is "lncRNA (ENSMPUG00000028774.1)". Lineage: Eukaryota; Metazoa; Chordata; Mammalia; Carnivora; Mustelidae. The record is from RNAcentral.
GUGGAAUUGGGGAACAGAUAGGAGAGUCAGAUCUUCACCUGCGGGUGCCCCCUUUCCCUGUUACCAUCUCUGAAGCAAGUCUACGAAGAGUGAUCACGUUCUACCGCACCCUCGUGGAGAGAGGGAAACUGAGUCCCAGAAGGAUGCAUCGGAAUCUUGGCCUGACGUGGCUGUGGAGUGGUUGCAGAGACUUGACGUCAAGUCCCUCCCCAGCCUGGGGGCCUCAGAAUUCCACUGUCCUGACCAGAAAGCCAACCCCUAUUCUCUGUGACCGGCAGCCACUGAGGGAAGAGCCGAUCUGUCACACACACCCCGGACAGACCCGUCCUGGAAAACCGGAAGGCAGAAUUGAAAGGUAAGCUCUGACUUUGAUGUGUAGCAAAACACAUGCAAAGCCUG